This is a non-coding RNA of Morus notabilis, 84 nucleotides long. Lineage: Eukaryota; Viridiplantae; Streptophyta; Magnoliopsida; Rosales; Moraceae. The record is from Rfam.
GUUCCCGGUGAUGUUUUUCGACUGAACCAUGCUAAUGCUGAUGACUGCAUGACGACUUUUUUUCUUAAAUGUGCUGAGGGAACU